This 158-nucleotide ribosomal RNA is filed under the name ascomycete sp. E52. Its description in RNAcentral is "5.8S ribosomal RNA". It matches the Rfam family "5.8S ribosomal RNA". From Rfam's summary of the family: 5.8S ribosomal RNA (5.8S rRNA) is a component of the large subunit of the eukaryotic ribosome. It is transcribed by RNA polymerase I as part of the 45S precursor that also contains 18S and 28S rRNA. RNAcentral also lists the same sequence under 2 other names. The record is from RNAcentral. Lineage: Eukaryota; Fungi; Ascomycota.
AAACUUUCAACAACGGAUCUCUUGGUUCUCGCAUCGAUGAAGAACGCAGCGAAAUGCGAUAAGUAGUGUGAAUUGCAGAAUUCAGUGAAUCAUCGAAUCUUUGAACGCACAUUGCGCCUCCUGGUAUUCCGGGAGGCAUGCCUGUUCGAGCGUCAUCA